GAUGAACGCUGGCGGCGUGCCUAAUACAUGCAAGUCGAGCGAACGGACGAGAAGGUUGCUUCUCUGAUGUUAGCGGCGGACGGGUGGGUAACACGUGGAUAACCUACCUAUAAGACUGGGAUAACUUCGGGAAACCGGAGCUAAUACCGGAUAAUAUUUUUAACCGCAUGGUUCAAAAAUGAAAGACGGUCUUUCUGUCACUUAUAGAUGGAUCCGCGCUGCAUUAGCUAGUUGGUAAGGUAACGGCUUACCAAGGCAACGAUGCAUAGCCGACCUGAGAGGGUGAUCGGCCACACUGGAACUGAGACACGGUCCAGACUCCUACGGGAGGCAGCAGUAGGGAAUCUUCCGCAAUGGGCGAAAGCCUGACGGAGCAACGCCGCGUGAGUGAUGAAGGUCUUCGGAUCGUAAAACUCUGUUAUUAGGGAAGAACAUAUGUGUAAGUAACUGUGCACAUCUUGACGGUACCUAAUCAGAAAGCCACGGCUAACUACGUG
RNAcentral lists this ribosomal RNA (497 nucleotides) under uncultured bacterium. Its description in RNAcentral is "partial 16S ribosomal RNA". It matches the Rfam family "Bacterial small subunit ribosomal RNA", at positions 28 to 507 of the family's 1533-position model. The record is from RNAcentral.